Long non-coding RNA from Mustela lutreola (European mink), 9523 nucleotides. RefSeq lists it as uncharacterized. The transcript is spliced from 2 exons. The record is from RefSeq and is a predicted model, not a curated record. NCBI's taxonomy places the organism in Eukaryota, Metazoa, Chordata, Mammalia, Carnivora, Mustelidae.
CUAAAUUUUAUUGUCUAUGAGACGAGAGCUUGUUCAGGGACGACUGUCGGAAGUAGUUGAUGGAAAGGAAUGCGGAACGUACGGGUCUGAGUUGAACAUCUUUAAAUAGUGUGAGAGCAGAUGUGAUUGGAAAAGUUAAACGUGACGAAGUAUCAUAUACUCUAACCCGUGCUUUUACUCGUAAUAUGUAUGUUUGAUUAUAGACACAUACUAUAAAAUACAAAAUACACAAUGUCAAUGAGUGAAAGCACUAGCCGAUCUGAGAAUAAUUAAGAUUGUCCCCAAGGACCUUGGUACAGCAUCCUGAAUUACACUGGGGGUCUCCGUGCGGCUCACAGCUCUGCUCUGGCCUCCGGCCUCUUCUCCUUACCAACGGCGGCUGCGGCUCCUCCGCUCUUCCCAGCGGCGAGCGCUCCAGCAGUGCACGCUGAAGGUCCCUUCCAGAAACAGCCCCUCUGAUGACACUGCCCUUUAACGCCUUCGCGAGAAGCAAGCAAAACCAAGUCCAGAGGGUUAGAGUUCUUGUGACAGUGGAGGACAUUUCUCGUAAGUGCGUGCAGAAAGCAGUGGCAGACGGCCUCGUGCCCGGCCUGUGCUUCUUGCCGCUUCGACUGGAGGACUUGGGGUUGGGGGCACGAACCCUCCGCACUGCUUUCAUCGCCCCAUGGUUCUCUCAGAUCUCCUCCAGCUUUUUGUGUUGGGAAUACUCAAACUUCCGAACAUUUGAAAGGCGGAAAACUGAUCCUCUUUAUCUGCCUCACCGAGCCCUGCCGGUCCCCUCGGGCCCCCUCCUGGGCUCGUUCACACCGGUUUGUUCCUGCGGAGCCGUUUCGGAAUGAGCAGGUGAACCCUGGAUGUGCCAGCAGCGCCUUUCCUGGGAAGAAACCCGUACAGAACCACAGAACUGCCGCCACCCCGCACGAGAUGAGCACAAAUUUCAGGUUCCCCACGGGGCUCACCGUGCUUGUGGUGGCUUUUGGCUUUGCUUUUUCACUUCAGGAUCGAGUUAAUAAUUCAUGUUGUAUUUGGUUAGAUCUAUGGGGUUUUACUGUUUUGUUUCUUAAAUCUAGACCAGUCUUCCAUCUCUUUGUUUUUUAUAACACAUUUUUUUUUUAAGCAUUCAGGCAAAUUAUCUUACUGAGGUUUACACAUUCUGGAUAUGACUGAGUCAUUUCCUCAAAUUUAGAUGUAGGUGAAAAUAUUGAGCCAAGAACACUCAGUGGGCUGUGCUCCGUUUCUCGUUUUAGCGGUGACUCUCGGUGGUAGGUUGUCCCGCUUUGGGGGACAGUAAUUUUGAUCCCUUACUUCAUGUGGUGACUAACUAGGACUAACCUUUGAACAUUCUGUUUUUAGAAACCUUUUAGGAAAAUAAUCUUUAAUUACUCGGUUGGCAUUGACCGUUCCCCAAAUAAAAGCAAGAGGAAGGAAACUCGAGAACGCCGGCGUCAUGCGCAUGGGGUGGGGGUCCCUUCCGUCUGCGGGCCGGGCCCUGCAGGAAGGCGGCUCUGGGCACGGGGAGCAGGAAUGCCAUUUAGGGUGUGCCCGUGAAGGAAUGUGGAUGUUUAGACCCUGCGCGCCUGUUGUCCUGAACACCGUAGUCAUUUGGAAAGUGUUGUUCGUAACCUUUGUUGAAAUCCUCUUAGAAUUCACGUCAGAAUGGCAGCUGCUUCUUGCGAACAUCCUUAGUAGUGACUCAUCUUUAUCCUGCGAGGGUGAAUUUGGUUUUCACAAAUAGCAAGAGACCUUUCUGUACCCAAUCUGAUUAAUUAAGGUCAGACUGUUUCAGGAGGAAGAAUAGUGUAACAGCAAAACUAAGACUGCUUUUCUUACGAGGUUCCCCUGAGGUCGGACGUUUACCUGUGUUGCGAGCCGUGGGCAGCACUGCUGGGCUUCGUGCCCGCUCCCCGGCUGACCUCUGCGGAGGCCCGCUCUCUGGUUCUCUUGUGUGUGCAUUUGUUUGUUGGUUGGUUUAUUUUAAGGAUUUUAUUGAUUUUAUUUUGAGAGAGAAAGUGGUGCACAGCGGAGAGGUGGAGGGAGACGCAGGCUCCCUGCUGAACAAAGAGCCCCAUGUGGGACUCGAUCCCAGGACCCCAAGGUCAUGACCUGAGCGGAAGGCAGAUGUUCCACGGAGCCCCCCAGGCGCCCCGUUAGGUGCAUUUAGUAACACGCUGCUUACUCUGCAGACUCCCGUUUCUUUGUACUAAAAAUGUAGUUCAGGGACCUCUUCUAACUGCAGUGUUUGGAGAGUUGUUUGUGGACUCCACACUGUGGACGGGCCAUUGCGUUAGUCGCAGUGGAGGGAACAUCGUGCGUGUGACUCGGCAGUGUUCCCUUCGAAUUGCCGGGUCAGAGUCAGACCCGGCAGCAGAGAGCAGGCGCGCAAGAACCCUAGCUGCCCUCUGCUCACUCGCCGGACUCGGACAGGCUUCGGGCGGCUCACGACUGCGACAGAGCAGUGUGGCUUCUGCCCGCUCUCGGUGUGCGCUCACAGGGGCCCCAAGGUGGCUUCUCGGCUCAGUCUCAGCCUCCAGGCCCCCUGCCGUGUGCUUUGCUCGCACGGUGCCCGAGGGGGUGUGUGCUUGCAGGAAGCACUGGUCGCGUUUGCGGCCGUGACCGGGAAGGACAGGUCCCCGCGGCCGUGCAGCGGCUGCUCCGCAGAGGGCCGGGGGCUUGGCGCCCGGCGCGCUGGGACGCGGGGCAGGAGCGCAGAGGGCUGGGGAGAGGAGAGGAAGGGGCCUGCGCCGGACCGCGGGGGCUGGAGGGACGAUGGGGGAGUCGAGGGCUGAGCCGCGCAGAUGGAGGCGAGCGUUGCCCCGACACCGGCACCGCGCUGGGCGGGAGGAGACUGGCAGCAGCUGCUGGCAGGGAAGCGAGGGGGUCCCCGACUGGCCGCCGUGCGUCCACCCUGAAUGAGAAGGGCCCCCGGCAGGGUCUCAGCAGAGGGCAGUGCGGUCGGAGGCUUUUAAAGAUUUUUCUGGUCUCUGCGGCGAGGCCGGUGAGAGGCGGAGCGCGUGCCUGCGGGGGGCCUGUGGCUGCGGUUCAGGUGCAGGGCGCGGGGCUUGGCCUGGGACGUGGCGGUGGAACCCGGGGGUGUGCCGCGGUUUGGAGACUCUCCUGACGGAGCGCAGCGGUGUGAAGACGACUGCCGGGAUUCUGGCUGGAGUGACCGAGAGGAAAAGGUUCCCUUCAGCAGAGAUGUGGGAAGAGCAGGUUUAGAAGACACAGUGAAGAGUAUUGUUUGGUUAAAAAUAAUUGUUAUACAUCCAAGUGCCGUAUUAAGCAGUAGGUUGUGCAAGUGUGAAGUUUAGGAGAGUGCUGUGGGCUGAAAAUAAAAGUAUGAAUUCAGUUUCUUCCUGGCAUCCAUCCCUCUGGUCUAAAAAAAAGAAAAAAAAAAUCCCAGAAAGGGCCAUUGGCACAGCCAGAGAGAACUUCAAGAGAAUCUUUCUUGUUCAAGUUUGGGAAAUGGGAGAUGAGUCUCUUGGUAGGGACUGCUGUGGCAGGCAGAACCCGAAACGUCAGGAAUUCAGAGGGAAGAGAACCUUUCUCAGUCACAAGAGCUGCUGUCUCAAGGGGGUGAGGGCAAGUUCCUGCUGCUUUAUGUUCUCCGUCUGCAUUUUGCCUUGGACGUAGGUGUAGUUGUUGAAAGUGCAAGAUAGAGCAAGGUGUAGACAACCCCAGGGUUGUGGACGGAGGUCCAAACUGGGGGAGCCCUAGGGCAUUGGAAAAUACCAAGAGAUGGUCAAGCGGGGGACGUAGGAAGGAGAUCCCUUCACGUCGCUUGUGAACUCCUGACUCACUCUUGGGCUGUGCGUGCGUGUGUCUGAUUCUGCACAGAAGAUCAGACGCUGAGGACUUGCACCGAGAGAUGGGCCACUGCCCGGAUCCGAAACUGGCCGAAGUCCUCACGAACAUAGCGGCGCUGAAGCCACAGUCCACAGAAGGCUGGCUGGGAUGUGUCGCCUGAGUCCGUGUAGCAUUGACCGAACGCUGAAACAGAAACGUCCAGGCCAGAAUUACUCAGCGUGUGAAGAACCCGAAAAUCUCAACUUGCAUGGGAGAAGACAUUGAACAGAUGCCCUCUAAGAUUGUAGAUGUUAGGAUUACCUGAGAAAGAUUUUAAAGCAUUUACUGUAAAAAUGCUCCGAGAAGUAAGGGUGAACCUUCCAGGUUCCUCCUCUCCACCUGGCCCGUGCACGAGGGCUUCCCGUGCUGGCUGUCUGGGAAUGACGAGACACCUCGCGCCUGACCCGGAGAGAUGUGAUCGCGAGCGGUUUCUCAGUCACAUCGGUUCCCAUUCCAGAGGAGGAGGAGGACACUGCGGACACCCCACGGGGCCACAGCGCGGGUGUGAUCUGGAGUAGAGGAUCCGGCAUGGCUGCGAGAAGCCAGCUUCGGAGCGACGGGAGGGUGGGCUGCCCAUGCGUCCCACAGGACGGUGUGGUAGGCUUGGUUUUUUUGUUGUUUGUUUUUGCUUUGGUUUUUUCUUGUUAAUUUUAUUGGAACUCAGGAACCUGAGAGCAAGAGUCACAUGCUCCAGACUGUGCCAGCCAGGUGCCCUGACGGGCUUGUUUGAAGGAUUCCAUGGUCUGACGCUGGAACCCACUCCCCGGAGAUGAGUAGGAACCCGGCCUGGUCUCUUCAGUGAGGAGGGUUCUUUGUCUAGGGCGCUUAUCCGUGGGAGCAGAGUGGGGGGCUUGUGCUCAGGCCACUUGCGGCUCAUCUGGUGUCCCUAGAUGAUAGGAAGCACGUGCUGUUGGGCCUUAAUUUUAGGCCUUACACCACACAAGCAGGUGGAAAUACAGCAAGUUUCAGAAAAGAAAGAAAAGAUACAGAGUAUCAUACUUUAGGGGUGACAAAUACAUUAGCCAAAAUAAGAAGCAGGUGGAUGGACUGAAUACCGGAUAGACACGACAGAAGAAAGAGGGGGAACAUGAAGGUGUGUCCACGUGACGCUAGGCGGCUCCUGGGCGGUACUGACACCCAUUCUGUUAUUAUGACUUGUGUUGUUCCUGAGUGGUGGUUGGCUGUAAUUUUUCUUAUUUUUAAGAUAACUUUAACAGCUCUAGUUUAUAAUUGAUGUGCAAUAAACUGCGUGUAUUUUUAGCAAAAAUAUUUGGUGAGUUUUGACGUUUGUAUACCCGUGAAACCAUCAACAGCUAAGAGAAUAAAUAUGUCACCCCCAAAAGCUUUUUCACGCAACAACUGAACCACUCUCUGUCACUAUAGAUUAGUUUUCGUGGUCUAGUAUUCUAUGUAAAUGUAAUAUUCUCUGUAAUCUUUGCCUGGCCUUUUUAUUCAGCAUAAUUAUUUUGAUACUCAUCUACUUUAUAGUGAAUUAACAUACUUAAUUCCUUUUUAUGGCCGAGUGACCCUGCAUUGUAUAGGUAUACCACAGCUUGAUCACUUUGGAUAGAUGCUUGGCUUAUCGCCAGUUCUGGGGGUCUUACGAGUGAAGCUGCUGUAAAUAUUUGUAUAUAUUGUACACAUUUGCUGUACACUCCGGCCUUUGUGUGGACAUACAUUUUCAGUUAUUUGGGUAAAUGCUUAGGAUGGGAAUGGCUUCAUAUGAUUAAGUACGUAUUUAUGUUUUUAAUAAAUGGCCAAACUGGUUGUCCCACUUGGCUGGACCAGCAUGUGAGAGUCCCCAGCAGAAGGAAUGAGACUUCCCUCGUCUUUUGCCUCCUCGCCAAGCCUGGCACAGUCUUCCUGUGGACGUGAUUGGUGGUUCCUUAAUGUCUAAUGAUGUUGUGCAUCUUCUCCUGUGCUUCCUUGACAUCUCUGGUUCUUUUAUGAUGUAUCUCCUCAGAUCUUUUACCCAUUUUAAAAAAGUGUUUUUAUUUAUUUGGGGGAGAGAGAGAGAGAGAGAGAGAGAGAGCGAGCAGCAGGCGUGGGGAGGGAGAGGGAGAAGCAGACUCUGCACUGAGUGUGGAGCCUGAAGCGGGGCUUGAUCUCAGGACCCUGAGAUCAUGAUCUGAGCCAAAAUCAAGACUCUUAACUGACGCUUAACUGAUUGAGCAAGCCAGGCACCCCUCUUUUACCCACUUUUAAUUGGAUUGUUUUAUUUCUAAGUUUUAAAUUCUUGAUGUGUUUUCUUCUUAUUUUUAUAGAUACAAGCCCUUUUUCCAGUAUAUGCUUUGCAAAGACUUUGUUUCCAUCUGUGAGUUGACUUUUUAUUCUUAGCAGUUCUUUGAAAGAACAAAAUCUUAAUUUUGAUGAAGUUCAGUUUAUCGACCUACUCUUUCAUGGACUGUGAUGUUGGUGUUGUGUGUACGGAAUCUUCCCCUAAACCACAGUCAUAAAUGGCUUUCUCCUAUGUUUUGUUCUAGAACUUCUGUAGUUUCGGUUUACAUUUAGAUCCAUGAUCCAUUUUGAGUCCAUUUUUGUGUAUAGUGUACUGUGUAUAGUGUACUGAUAAAUGCCUGCAUGUAGACAUCUGACUGUUCCAGCCCCGUGUGUGUGGAAAAGAAUGUUCUGGUCUCUUACUUACCUUCGCACCUUUGUCAGAUAUGCGGUGUCCGUGUGUGUAGGAUUCUCUCUGGGCUCUUUCCUGUUCCAUUAAUCUUUGUCUAUCUUGAUACCAAAACUUCAUGGUCUUGAUUACUGUAGCAUUAAAAUAAAUCUUGAAAAUAGGUAUUGUUAGCCCUCUUACGUGUUGUCAAAGUUGUUUUGUCUAAUCUAUAUUCUUUUCAUUGCUGUAUGAAUCAACAUGUUAAUUUCUACGGAAAAUCCUCCGGGGAGUUUGCGACUGUAUUCAGAGACCCACGAACACCGUGUAACUCUCUUUAUUUUGUUAGGUCGUUAAUUUUUCUUUUUUCUUUUCUUUAAGGUAUUAUUUAUUUAUUUGAGAGAAAGAGAGAACACAGAAGGAGAGUGAGAGGGAGAAGCAGGCUCCUCACUGACCAGAGAGCCUGAUGCAGGACUUGAUCCCAGGACCCUGAGAUCAUGACCUGAGCUGAAGGCAGACGCUCAACCGACCGAGCCACCCAGGCAGCUCCAUGGUCGUUAAUUUUUCCUGAUCAAAUUUUAUGUUCUGUUGUUUGGCAGAAUGUUCUGUAAAUGUGAAUUAACUAUAAUUGUGAAUUUUCUGUUUUUCUUUUCAGUUCUAUAGUAUUUUCUUCAAGUAUUGAGUCCCUGUUAGGUGUAGAAACACUUAGUUUUGUCAUGUCUUAUGACGGGUUGCUCUGUGUAUCUUAAAAUAAUCUUUUUAUCCCUGGUAAUGUUCUUUGCUGUGAAUUCUGCUGUGCCUGGUGUUCAUGUGACUACUCCAGUUUACUUUGGGUGGUAUUAGCCUCAUCUGUUCUUUCCUGCCUUUUUAUUCUUAAGCUAUUUGGGUCUUUUUAUUUAAAACAUGUUGCUAGUAGGCAGCAUAUGGUUGGUUCUUGCGUUUUCAUCCUGUCUCACGAUGGCUGCCUUCAAUUGGACUAUUCAGACUGUUUACUACUAAUCUGAUUAUUGAUAUUUAAAAAUUUCUCGUUUUCAUAUUUAUUCUCUAUUUCUUGUUUCUGUUCCCCUUUUUUUCUUUUUUCUGCCGUUGUAUGGCAUAAUUGAAUAUUUUUUUAUGAUUCUGUUUUAUCUGCUUGGUUGACUUAUUCGCUAUUAUUCUUUAUUUUAUUGAUUGCUUUAGGGCAGGAACUGUACAUCUUUCAUUAUGACAGACUACCAUCACAUGAAUAAAACAUUUCAUAUACAGGAAUGUUACAAAAGAAAAGAAAGAGCAGACAUUCAGCCUCACCACCGGGUGCUGUAAUGACCCCGUGCGAAGCAUAAGCGGGAGCUGCCGGGCUUGGACGGAGACGUGGCGAAGCUUUCACCGCUGCGGCGUCCCAGGGACGUUGUCCCUGCAGAAGCGUUGUGCUGCGCGGCGGGCCGGUGCAGUAGUGGGACAGCCUGACCGACUCAGACUCAGGCCCGGUGCUUCCUGCCCCCGCCCCCCGCAGCGGAGCGUGCCGGGCUAGUGGGCUCUGGGCGGCCCCCAGGCCAGGCAGUCCGCUCGCCAUCGCGCCAGCCUGCAGGCCGUCCUCGCGGUCGUCCGGAGCCACCGUUGGCAGACCAGGACCGUGGGGCUGAAGCUGGGGACACUGCCACCCGCCUAGGAGGCUGGGACUCGGGCUUCUGGGCCGGAGCCGGCUGGACCCCGCUGCGGCACUUCUGCUGUCCACCGUGUGGAACCAGUGGCAGCUGCCUCCGGAGAACAGUACACACAGCAGGGGGAAGGGAGCAGGGCGGGGGUUGCUUUCCGAGGGCAUAGAGUGUCGCCCAUGGGCGACACCUCCUUGAGCCUCCGCCAGCGAGGACGGACGGGGCAGUGGAACGUGCUCAUCUCUAGUUGCAGCGGCGGCCAAGGAGGGAAAGUGCGCGGUCCCAGUAGUCGCUUCCCGUCUGCGCCCACGGAGGCCUGAGGACUGCAGGGGGCGAUCGGGGGCGUCGGAAGGAACCGGAGAAUGCAGGCAGCUGGAGGCCGUGGCUCUUCUUGGCGGGCACAGCUGUCACACGAGCGCGGACCUGUGUGGCGGGAGGGGCUGAGUGGUCAGGGGAAGGACAGGCUGCAUCCCGUGUGCUGCAGGUUUGGGGUUACGUCAUUGACUGCAUGGCGGGGUCCUCAUCAGGGCCACCUCCUUGGGUCUGUGAGCUUCUCUUUCUCUGUGAAGUGACAGUGACGGGAUUAUCUGUAUUGCUGAGCUGUUGCGAAGUCCCUAUCUCGGCCGCCUUUUAAAAACUGCUCCGUAAACUACGACAGACACCAUAUGCAAGUGCUACUUUUUCUAGGGAGUUUUCACUUGCCGGCUGGCGGACCUUUCUCGUGCACGUGCUGCUGAAUCUGGGUGUUGGUAGGUUGGGGGCUCCGCUGACGCUUGGUGCCACCGGGACCGACAGUGAAGACCCCCGCAUCGUGAUGCUCCUGGCACUGUGCUGCUCACACUUCCCUCCAAAGCACCCGUAACCCAGAACACGCGCACAUAGGCUGUGCAGGCCGUCCUCACGUGCUGGUGGCUUUUCUGACGUCACAUUUUGUUUCCCAGCUUGUGUACAGUUUGCAGUCCAGCCCAAACAAUAUUUCUGUUAAGUUCCGAUUACCUUUUCAGUUACCCAUGAACAAGAUGUUAAAAAGAGGGAAGGGGCCCCGGCUGUUCUGUACUGGUGGACAGGAUGGGGGGGCCCAGCCAGUGACAUCACGUGCUCCUGGACCUCGGAGCGCACACCCCCAGUUCCUGGGCUGUUCUUAUUUGUUAAAGAAGAGGAUUGACUGUGUCCUGUGUCCCCUUCUGGGCAGCUGUUCUGUGAAAGCGCACGUAGUGCACAUCCCAAGGAACUCCUGACCUGAUUACAAAAUCAAAUUAUACAACACGCUCAUUCUUACAAAGUGGUUUCUAGAUAUUGUGUAAUUCUUAUCCAUCUAGGUUGGUCAUAGGGGACUUUGCCCCAUAGAGUUUAUUAUUGUCGAGGCCACAAAUGAUCAAAUUUUAUUUGUUUAAAAUAUUUGUGAGUGUUACUCAUCAGUAAAUGACGUUUUAUUAGGCUGUUC